CCGGUACACCCUGAUGGCUGUACCGGUACAGCAAGCAGAAAAUCAGCUUUUUUACAGAUUUUCUUGCUAAACGCUGCUUUCGAGUCGCAUAAAGUCCGUUUUGCGUCUAUUUCGCGCCAACGCGACUCAGACUUGUCUCGACACUCUCCAGAGCUGUCGACAAGCCUUCACUGCCGAACACCAGGGAUCUCACAAUAAUUGUAACAAUUAAGGGGCUUUUGGAGGGGCAUAAUUGUGAUGGUAUAAAUGUCAUUUCAUUUAUCUUCUAUUAAAAAAUAAAUUGUACUCUAUUAACGGUAACAAAUCAGAAUGACAAAUAUGAAUAUCGUUGAAUUUUUACAGUGAUGAUAAAUAUGAAAAGUUGAAUUUUGUAAGAAUAUAUUUAUUAUUUAAUAUAGUUUUAGAAAGCUGUAUAAAAUUAAUCCUUUCUUUUUCUACGAGGUCUACAUGAACAAACCCAAAAAAAAAUCCAUUUUUUAUUUUUUUCCUUUCUGCAAAUCUUAGCACUUUUGUACUCCUAUCCCGACUCGCUUGGCCUGGGAUUCAAACUCAAGACCACAAAUUUAAGUGCCGUGGCAGGGGGUCGUGCCGGAAACUUGCUGGCACAGUAUGGUACGGUACGUGCCGAGCCGUGCCGAUGCAUGCCGGUAAAAAAAAUUCUUAUGUGCUGACACAUAAUAAAAUGAAAUAUUUAUUUUCUUUAGCAACAAAUAUUCUAACUAUUUAUUAUGUUUUUUUUAUUACAUCUUUUAAUAGAGGGUUCUUAUCUGUGCCAUCGGAACGGGAUCUGUAUCGUACCGGUAUCUUAUUGACACGGUAUGAUACGGUAGACACGGCUCGUGCGGACGAGCACUUAAAAUCUUGCUCAAGACCCCUCAAUUCUC
Molecule: long non-coding RNA, 884 nt
Filed under: Ananas comosus (pineapple)
Lineage: Eukaryota; Viridiplantae; Streptophyta; Magnoliopsida; Poales; Bromeliaceae
Description: long non-coding RNA (ACOM_LNC008214)
Source: RNAcentral